This 589-nucleotide ribosomal RNA is filed under the name Bacillus subtilis. RNAcentral describes it as "bacterial SSU rRNA". It matches the Rfam family "Bacterial small subunit ribosomal RNA", at positions 35 to 619 of the family's 1533-position model. The record is from RNAcentral. Lineage: Bacteria; Bacillati; Bacillota; Bacilli; Caryophanales; Bacillaceae.
GCUGGCGGCGUGCCUAUACAUGCAGUCGCAGCGGACAGAUGGGAGCUUGCUCCCUGAUGUUAGCGGCGGACGGGUGAGUAACACGUGGGUAACCUGCCUGUAAGACUGGGAUAACUCCGGGAAACCGGGGCUAAUACCGGAUGGUUGUUUGAACCGCAUGGUUCAAACAUAAAAGGUGGCUUCGGCUACCACUUACAGAUGGACCCGCGGCGCAUUAGCUAGUUGGUGAGGUAACGGCUCACCAAGGCAACGAUGCGUAGCCGACCUGAGAGGGUGAUCGGCCACACUGGGACUGAGACACGGCCCAGACUCCUACGGGAGGCAGCAGUAGGGAAUCUUCCGCAAUGGACGAAAGUCUGACGGAGCAACGCCGCGUGAGUGAUGAAGGUUUUCGGAUCGUAAAGCUCUGUUGUUAGGGAAGAACAAGUACCGUUCGAAUAGGGCGGUACUUGGACCGGUACUUAACCAAAGCCCACGGUUAAUUAGUGCCAGCAGCGGGGAAUACGUAGGGGAAAACUUUUUCCGAAUUAUUGGGGUAAAGGCUCCCAGCGUUCUUUAAUCUAAUGAAAAACCCCCGCCCACCGGGAGU